AUUGAACGCUGGCGGCAUGCUUUACACAUGCAAGUCGAACGGUAACAGGUCUUCGGAUGCUGACGAGUGGCGAACGGGUGAGUAAUACAUCGGAACGUGCCUGGUAGUGGGGGAUAACUACUCGAAAGAGUAGCUAAUACCGCAUGAGAUCUACGGAUGAAAGCAGGGGACCUUCGGGCCUUGUGCUACUAGAGCGGCUGAUGGCAGAUUAGGUAGUUGGUGGGGUAAAGGCUUACCAAGCCUGCGAUCUGUAGCUGGUCUGAGAGGACGACCAGCCACACUGGGACUGAGACACGGCCCAGACUCCUACGGGAGGCAGCAGUGGGGAAUUUUGGACAAUGGGCGAAAGCAUGAUCCAGCAAUGCCGCGUGCAGGAUGAAGGCCCUCGGGUUGUAAACUGCUUUUGUACGGAACGAAAAGCCUGGGGCUAAUAUCCCCGGGUCAUGACGGUACCGUAAGAAUAAGCACCGGCUAACUACGUGCCAGCCGCCGCCGUAA
Molecule: ribosomal RNA, 498 nt
Filed under: uncultured bacterium
Lineage: Bacteria
Description: partial 16S ribosomal RNA
Rfam family: Bacterial small subunit ribosomal RNA
Source: RNAcentral